GACGAACGCUGGCGGCGUGCUUAACACAUGCAAGUCGAACGGAAAGGCCCUGCUUUUGUGGGGUGCUCGAGUGGCGAACGGGUGAGUAACACGUGAGUAACCUGCACUUGACUUUGGGAUAACUUCAGGAAACUGGGGCUAAUACCGGAUAGGAGCUCCUGCUGCAUGGUGGGGGUUGGAAAGUUUCGGCGGUUGGGGAUGGACUCGCGGCUUAUCAGCUUGUUGGUGGGGUAGUGGCUUACCAAGGCUUUGACGGGUAGCCGGCCUGAGAGGGUGACCGGCCACAUUGGGACUGAGAUACGGCCCAGACUCCUACGGGAGGCAGCAGUGGGGAAUAUUGCACAAUGGGCGGAAGCCUGAUGCAGCAACGCCGCGUGCGGGAUGACGGCCUUCGGGUUGUAAACCGCGUUCGCCUGUGACGAAGCGUGAGUGACGGUAAUGGGUAAAGAAGCACCGGCUAACUACGUG
Molecule: ribosomal RNA, 468 nt
Filed under: uncultured bacterium
Lineage: Bacteria
Description: partial 16S ribosomal RNA
Rfam family: Bacterial small subunit ribosomal RNA
Source: RNAcentral